Carassius carassius (crucian carp) is the source of this 1059-nucleotide long non-coding RNA. RefSeq lists it as uncharacterized. The record is from RefSeq and is a predicted model, not a curated record. NCBI's taxonomy places the organism in Eukaryota, Metazoa, Chordata, Actinopteri, Cypriniformes, Cyprinidae. The transcript is spliced from 5 exons.
CUACUCUUCCUCCAGGCUGGGAACAUUGCCCCCUUGUAGUGCCUGAACCUCAGCUGAGUCGGGUGGCAGCCUCCCAUUUGUUAAAUGCUACAUGAGGUGACUGGAGCUUCUCUGCCCGUCGCUGAGAGGACAGAUGGAGAGGCCAUGGAAUGUUCUGGAGAGCCGAUGGUAAUUACAAGCCAGUAGCAGAGCCGGUGGCUUCCGGAGGGAACAAGCCUGAGCGGAAGCGCUCGAGUGGCAUGGGGGGUUGUUUGCCCUUUGGCUGCUCAGCAUGCUGUUGCUCUGCGCUGAGCUCAUGUUGGGACUGCCGCCGCGGCACAUUUCUCCGCUCUUCACGUCAGUGAGGUAUUUCCAUGCGGUUGGGUGAUGAAGAGCAGGUGGCCUCAUUUGCAGAGAGCAUUUCCUCAGAAGCAGCACCUUCACUGCCUCCUCUUCCUCCACGUGGCUGUUGGGCAGGCGAGGGCGAUUGCGUUCCCCUCCCGCGCCGUGCCGCCUGUCCGCCUGUGGGACCUGCUCCGUGGGCUUUUCAUCAGCUGCCAUUUUCACCAGCAUGCAGUAAUUUCAUGGCUCAUUGCAAGCGCUGAAAACCUUUGAAACUGCAAAUGUUAACUUUUGCCUGGCCCGGAGCCAUUUAGAAAGCGAUUAAUUCGGCAAACAGACGUGAGCCACUUUCUCCUCCCAAGUUUUCGCAUAAUUUUCCAACCCUUUCUAUCUGGGAUUUGCAUUGCAGGGAACUUGCAGGACAAGGAUAAUAACCAUUCCUGUUAAUUGUGGUUUGGUGAAGAAACAAGGCCAGUCGCUCGCCAGUCUGAUCUGCCCGGCUGUCCCAAUCCAGUCCAAGCUGGAAGAAUGAACAGAGAAAACUGUGUACAAAACAUUCUGAAGUUCUGGAUGGCAUGAAGGUUAAUGUGGCUGGGUUCCAAAAUCAUCGUGCCUGAGACCACACAGAUGGGGAUGAGAUAAAACUUCUAAACCUAACAGCAUGGGUGGAUGAGGUGUUGUGCAGAGAAGAAAGACAUGGAGAAGAAACCACAACCAAACUUCAUCAGUUCUCGCAUG